AGGGAUCCGGAAGAGACGAGGCAGGAAGAAACUCCUGGUCCUUUCGCUUUUAAGGAACGUGCCACCUAGACAAGUGGGCGGAGAGGCCGCGCUAAGGGUGAUCUCCGAAAAAGAUGCAGGAGAUGUUUUAUAACUUGAUCCAGGUGCUAGUCCUCUCUCCUACACAUUUCUCCUGUCGGGAUUUCUCACUUUCAGUGUUCCAGCCUCCGGUGAACCAGUCUUCCUAGUGAGAGCACGAGAAGCCCGUUGUCCUUCAUUCCUCAGCUAUGGAUUUCCCUGAAAGUUGAGAACUGACCAUAUUCUCGAUGCCUCCUCCGACCUGUGAUUUCAUGACUCACAUCGCUUCCCCAGAACCUGCUUAACAGACGGGAUUCCUGAGAAUGGAGCAGAGUUUGAAUUCAGAGUCCUGGCUUUGCCAUACCAGCAGUUAUAAUUGUCCUUCUGUUGUUUGAUGACCUCCCUGCCCUGCUUCAAAAGGAAGAGAAAUCAAAGAGUUGACGACCCUGAGCGCAAGGCCUGGGACGUUCUUCCCCAAACUCGCUUUAAUAUCACCUUCUCAAAAGAACUCUUCCCUGAACACCUUGUCUCAAGAUGUUCUCUAGUUUGUCUUCUUGUUCUGUCAUUUAUUUGUCUGUUCAUUGUUUGUGUGUUUUUUGAGGCGGAGUCUAGCUCUGUCGCCUAGGCUGGAGUGCAGUGGCACGAUCUCGGCUCUCUGCAACCUCUGCCUCCUGGGUUCAAAGCGAUUCUUGUACCUCAGCCUCCCAAGUAGCUGGGAUUACAGGCGUGUACCACCAUGCCCGGCUAAUUUUUGUAUUUUCAGUGGAUACGGGGUUUCAUCAUGUUGGCCAAGCUGGGCUCUAACUCCUGACCUCAGGGGAUCUGCAUUUGAGGAUAAACCCUGUCUUGGCUCCUCCCUGACGGGGGUGAGAAGUAGCCCUCCUGGAAUUGCCUCAAAGCCCCCGGUUAUCACCAGUGUUCUCGGUUGCAAAUUACGAAACAUAAAUAAACUCAGACUAACAGAUGCAGCAAAGGAAUUUAUCAGGAAGGAAUGGGGAGCUCCCAGAACUGAUGGGAAGGCUGGAGAACCAGGCUCAGAAAAUGCACUGAAGUGGUGAGCGCAGAGGCUUGAAUGUUGCCAGGACUCUCCUCCCAGUCCUUUAUCUCUUCUCUCUGUAUGCGAGCUUUUCUCCUCAAGGCUAGGCACCUGGCUGCAGCAGCGCUCACCACUCACAACUCUCACCCGUUCCACCGGAGAGAGACUGAGGAUUUCUGCUUCUGGUCUGAAGGACAAAAUUUUAGGGAAAAACUUUGAUUGGUCCAACAUAGAUGGAGAAAUGACAACUGGAGAGGGGAGUUCUACUGGAGAGGGGAGUUCACACAUAUACACUGAAAGCUGCCCAUCAAAAGAGUUGCAGAACCAGGACUACAGCCCUUGCAUCUUGACUGCCAGUACGAUGCAGGUUAAACUCUGUGUUUGAUGCUUGUUGAUGUGGACGUCUGGAACUUGAAUAGAAGACAUUUCUUAUUUCAGAUGCAUCCAUUAGCAGGUCUUAGCCAGGAGCCAGGCCCUUGCAAGUAUAUAUUGCAAGUAAUUGAUGACAUUGGAGCCAGAAAUCGAAUGAACCGGGCCCAGUUCAAUCCACUUACUGGACAAGCUCCUCAAGCACUCUAAGCCCCAAUUUCCUCCUCUGUAAAGUGGGCAUAAAUUACAUUUACCUUGAGGGUUGCUGUGAAGGCUAGAAAUAAUAUAUGUAAUGUCCCCUGAUACACAGAAGGUGCUCAAGAAAUAGUAAGCUCUUCUAAUGAUUGUUAUUGAUGGCAAAGAUGAUGAAAAAACAAAUGCUCUGACUUCUCAAAGGAGAGAGAAUCAUCCCUGAGGAUUGUGUCUUGGAGAACAUAAAUCCAUAUUUUCUCUUUCCUGAACAAAUUCCCUCUGGAAGGGCACAAAGGGAACAAAUUCCCUUGUUAGGAAGGAAGGAAGGGAAGGAAGGAUGGAAAACAAGAGCAAGGAAGGGUUGGCAGGUUGUGACUGUCUACCUCUCCCUGAGGCUUGCUCUGCUACACCCACCCCAAACUCUGGUCCAUCCCAUUUCCAUGCUGAGAUCAGGCCACACACAGAAGUGUUGGUGUCAGACCACCAGCUUUGAGCCAUCCCUGGGAAUCCCCAGGAUACUGGAUAGCAGAUUUGGAGCAUACAGUUCCCACCCACUGUGACUGACGGCUAGGGAGCUCAAGGUUAUGGAGGAAGCUCUCAUAAGUCAAUGCAAGUUUGUGUGUCUCCCGUUCCUCACUGGCUUAGCCCUCAGAGCCCUUGUCCCUGCUUUCUGCCUUGCAACUAGGUCUUCACAUUAGUGUUUUAUCAAACAAAAGACAGGCUGACAUCUUUAAAGUAUGGUCUUUAUUAAGUAGGGAGCAAAUCAUUCCACACCUUCCCUCCCAAUACCUCCCUCACCAGUGACUUCAAGCCUUCAAACAAGAGGGGACACCUCUCCCCACUUCCCAGUGACCUUUCUCCGCCCCUCAUUGCAUCCAUGAGUGACACCACUGAGAUCAGAUGCAGUGAUGUUAAUUGAAAUGGACAUUAAGGGCUCACUUGCUCAAGCAGAAGCACAUUAGAAGAAAUAUAAACGAGGAAGACAUUGGGUCAGUAACAUUUGUUCUAAUGAGAAUAACCAUCUCUAGAGCAUCUUGUUCAAAAAGGAUUGAGUGCCCAGGAAACAACAGAUACAUGAGGCCUUCCACCCCCACCCCACCCCCAAUACUCAGAAGUGUCACACAUACUUGCAGAGACUUUUCAAUCAUCCUUGCUUCAAUCAUGAUUCCCCAGGUGCAUUUCUGUGGGUGUCACCCAGCACAUUCCCCCUCGUGUUCUUCAUCUGUUUCUCCAAAUCUACUUCUCCAUAUUAUUUUAAGAGUUUGUGACCAGAUGUUGGUAACAUGUGGUCCCAGAUGUUCUUAUUUGCUAUACCUCAGGAAUUCUUGACUAAGUGACCCAAGAGCUUCUCAACUUUGGAUCCAAUAAGGGGAACCUAAGGCUAAAAGAAUCCCAUCUGGAGUAGAGAGGAAGAUACCCAAUUACCCAAUUUUUUUGUUUGUUUUUGUUUGUUUUCUGAGACAGAGUCUCUCUCUGUCACCCAAGCUGGAGUGCUGUGGUGCGGUCAUAGCUCACUGCAGCAUUGAACUCCUGAGCUAAGCAGUCCUUCUGCCUCAGCCUUCCGAGUGGCUGGGACUAUAGGCAUGUACCACCAUGCCCAGCUAAUUUUUAAAAAAAGUUUUUGUAAAGACAGGGUCUCCUUAUGUUGCAAAGGCUGGUCUUGAACUCCUGGGCUCAAGAGGUCUUCCCACCUCAGCCUCCCAAAGUGCUGGGAUUACAGGCAUGAGCCACCACAUCUAGCCCAAGUUUCUGCAUAAAGAACAUGAAGGUUUUCCUUAGAUCAUGCUUUACAUGGCACAUCAUGUCUUUAUGGUUAUUAGUGGGCAGUUGCAAGGUAUAGAUACCAUUUUUGUCUAUGCUGUAUCAUCUCCCAAUAUUCUUAACAGCAUCUGACUUAAAAAAAUUUUUUUUUUGAGACAAGGUCUUCCUCUGUCACCCAGUAUGGAGUGCAGUGCUGCAAUCAUGGCUCACUGCAGCCUCAACUUCCCAGGCUCAGGUGAUCCUCCCACCUCAGCCUCCAGAGUAGCUGGGACCACAGGUCGUGCCACCAUGCCCAGCUAAUUUUUGUAUUUUUUUGUAGAGACAGGGUUUUGCCAUGUUCCUCAGGCUGGUCCCUAACUCCUAAGCUCGAGCAAUCUGCCCGUCCCAGACUCCCUGUAAGUGCUUGGAUUACAGGCAUGAGCCAUUGUGCCUGGCCAGCAUCUGAUUUUUCUGUGAGCCUCUACUCCUAUUCUUGGUCCAGGCCAUAAAGAGUAUGGAAACUAAAGUCUGACUGCCUAGGUUUGAAUAUUGGCUCUGCCAUUGACCAGCUAUGUGAACCUGGAAAAAUUCCUAACCUCUCUGUGCCUCAUAUAAGAAAUGUGGAGAAUAGUAUCUACCUCAUGGAGUUUUUGGGUUAUAUGAGUUAAUUCAGAUAAAAUGUUUAAAAGAGUGACUGGCACAUAGUAAACACCCCCCAAAUGUCAUCUAGUAUUAAUAUUAUUACUAUUAGUUCAGAAGGGGCUGACUUCAUUCCCCCUGGCCCUGGUGAUGGCACCUGACCCAGGCCUGGCCAAUCAGGACAUUCUGUCCCCCUGUCCACCAUGGAGUCCUUCUCCAUGGUCAGUCAUACCAGUCAUUUGGAUUGGCACUGUGGGCUGUGAUCUAAUGUGAACUCUGAAAGCCUGGUCAUGCUGGGCCAAAGCUGCAAAGUAAAGGUAAACAUCAAAUCUGGGCUGGUUCAUCAGGAGAGAACAUUCUGAGUAGGGAGACCUGGGGACUAUCCAGUUUCACCUUGCAGGUGAAGGCCCACUCUCCCUACUCUAGCCGUUAGUUAGACCCCAUGAAAAUAAUUGCAGUAGACUGUUAAUUUGAUGGCUUCCAGUGAACCAUGCUUCUGGCAUUCAUACUCUUAUGUAGUCCCCUCCCACAUUGAUUCUGGACUUUGCCAUAUUGAUGCAGGGCAGGUAAGCCCCAGAAUUGGGGCUUAGCCCGAGAAGGUUCUUCACUUCAUCCAGGAAAGAAUUCAAGGGCAAACAGGUGGUGGUAGAUGCCAACAUUUUUUUUUUUUUUUUGAGACGGAGUCUUACUCUGUCAUCAGGCUGGAGUGCAGUGGCACGAUCUCUGCUCACUGCAACCUCCGACUCCCUGGUUCAAAUGAUUCUGCCUCAGCCUCCCGAGUAGCUGGGAUUACAGGCAGACACCACCAUGCCCAGCUAAUUUUUGAAUUUUAGUAGAGAUGGGGUUUCCCCACGUUGGUCAGGAUGGUCUCGAUCUCCUGACUUCAUGAUUCACCCACCUCAGACUCCCAAAGUGCUGGGAUUACAGGUGUGAGCCACUGUGCCCAGCCUAGAUGGCAACUUUUAUUGGAGCAGCAGUGUCCAACAGCAGCAGAGGUACUGCUCCUUGUGGAACAGGACUACCCCCUAGGCAGCAUGCCCAGAGUAGCAGCUCAGGGGUAAUUCUGUCGUCAUAUUUAUACCCACUUUUAAUUACAUGCAAAUUAAGGGGCAGGUUAUUCAGAAUUUUCUGGACAAAGGAUGAUACUUCCAGGCCAUUGCCAUGGAAAGGGGUGGUAACUUUUAGGUGUUGCCAUCACUGUGGUAAACUGACGUGGUGUUGCUGGGUAUGUCUCAUGGAGAGGUGCUUUCACUGCUUCCCUGUUCACCUAGUCUUCAAUCUGGUCCAGAGUUUCAGCCCCAUCUCUGGAGUUGAGUCCUGCCUUCUCCCUCAAUGUGACAAAUGUUGGCCAAUGGUAUAUCGCAGUUGUGAUGCAAGCAGAGGCUUGGUAAAUGCCUGCAUACUGGGGUUUGUCCUCUUGGAAUGCUCAUUUGUGGGAGCCCUGAACAACUAUGUAAGAAGUCUGGCUACCCUGCUGGAGAGAACACAUGGUGGGAAGAGACUAAAAUUAUGUGAAGAGAGUCAGGCCAGCCAUCCCAGCUUCUCUGCUGAGCCCCGCCAUCAGCCAACCUGCCAGCUGAAUGCAACCGUAAGAGUGAUCACCAGCAAGAUCACUAGAAAAACCACCUAACUGAGCCCACCCUGGAUUGAACAAUCAUAAACAAAUAAAAUGGUUAUUGUUUUAAAUCACAAAGUUUUGGGGUUACAUAGCAAUCGAAACAACAAUCAUGUUCAAUAACAUUUCCUAGCUCCACAGAGUUCUGAGAGCUCUCCCACAUCUAAGAGAUUAGGAUUGUUAUUAGCCCCAUUUUACAGAUGGGGAAGCUGAGGCCCAAAGAUGGGAAGCAACAGCCCAGUCAAGCAGAGACAGAGCUGUCACAUUCAUACACUUCUGAGUGAGCUCCUUUCACCGCACCUCCCACUGCAGUAGCUCCUGUCUAGUUGAAGAAACUUAUAAAGAGCAGCAGAGAGUGGUGAGGUAUAGGAGCACUGGACUGGGAUUGACAAUAGCCUGGCUUUAAGUUGGCCAUUAUUUGUCUGUAUGUGCUUAGACAACUCAAACCACUUCCCUCCCUGAGCCCAUCUUUCCAGCUGUUCAGUGAGGGGGGAAGCAAACUGAAAUGCUCGCAGAGGCCAGGUAGAUAACACAGACAAGGGAAGCAGGUCAGGUGAGGACUACGGUGGCUGAGCCCAUGCCCUUCUAAGCGGGGGCGGUCACUACCCAGCUUCAACCAACUGUUACCAUAUGGAAUCGGGGCCCAUUGUAGCUAGAUCACCUGAUUUGUUUCUUUUCCUUGGAGAGACAGGAAAUGUAGGUUAUGAUGUUAAAUUUCCCAACAUUAAAAUGUUAUAUACAGCUCAGGAAAAGCAGGGAAAAGAAAAAGAAAUGUUAUGAAUUUAUUUGAAUUUUUAAAAAAUAAACAGCCAUUCAAACCUACAGGCUGCUGGUUUGAAACCCUGGAUCAGAUUAUUUCAAAAUUUCCUGCUAGAGUUUAUGCCGACAUCAAAGAAGGAUGCCUACCGGUCCCAGCCCUGCCCUACGCACACAGAGCGGUUCCAUCUAUCUCCCCAUCCCAACUCACAGAGCCUGAACACCAGAGAGGCCUUGGGUGUGGCUACCAUCUUUCUCUCUGAGGACUCUCAUCUCCAGCCCUACCACCCCUCUGGCUACAAGGAAUGGGGUGCAGAGGCCCAGUUUCGAAUGCCUAAAGUUGCUGGGGCUUCAAAGGAGGGCCAAAAGUGGAAAAGAAGUAACACCCAUUAAGCAACUACUGUGGGCCAGGUGUGAUGGUGGAUUGCAACAUUAUGUAAUAGCAAAGGGUCUCAUGACUAUGAGGACAUAAGGGAUUGGAGGAGUGCUGUUCAUCCCUGGUCAUAAUGAGCCUUGGAGACAGACAUGCAGUGCAGCGAGGGACGGCCCAGCUAUUAUUGAUACUAAUUAAAAGGCCAUUAAAUUGAAGGGGCACAUACAGCCCUUCCGUCACCAGCCAGUGCUCUGACAGUCUCACCAUUUUCUGUGAGGCCAGCGCAGCUCGUGUGGGGCACAGAGCACAACCCUUCACCCCCGACUCUCCACUAAAGCACUUAAUUGUCUGAGAAAAAAUACCAACACUCCCCCAGCUCUGGGAGAAGCUGCAAUACACUAAUUGAAAUUCAACGGCUUGGAUCUCGGGAGGGAAAUGGCCACUCGUAGGGAAAUAUGGAAGCAUACAUUCAUUCAAUAAAUCAUUAGUCUGCAUCUUUUAUGUGCCUAGUACUGUGCUACAUGCAAUGAAUAUGGCAAUGAUCAAAGCAGAUAAAGGGCCCCCCAAAUAUAAUCAUGGAGAUUAUGGAAGGUGCAAAAAAUGCAUAGUUCUUAUUUUCUUUCUCCUUUUUUCUUUCUUUCUUUCUUUCUUUUUUUUUUUUUUUUUUUUGGACAGAGUCUUUCUCUGUCUUCCAGGCUGGAGUGCAGUGGCACAAUCAUAGCUCACUGCAGCCUCAACCCUCUGGGCCUAAGUGAUCCUCCCACCUCAGUCUCCUGAGUAGCCUUUAUUUUCUAUAAGUGGUCAAUUUUUUCUUGUGCUUCCUUCAUUUUCUUAGAGAGAAAAACAUAAAUCUGAUUACUAACUGUAGCCGAGUCUCUUCCAGUUUAAAAGGCUCAUGAAGGAGUAUUUCAUACUAUUUGAGUAAAAGGUUCAUCUUCGUUUCCUCCCACCUCUUCCUCCCUCAAGAAGGCCUGGGUGUCAGCCAGACCACACAUGGAUCCUUGAGCCAUCCUAUGGGAAUAUGACCUGAGAGGCCCUUCCCAUUGACUCAGCAGCGGGAUGGAGAAACCCCAGCAUAUCAUGGUUUCGUGGACUGAAAAUCCAUCCGGGGUCAUCUGCUGGGGUCCUGCCUGUGCCUCCUCAACACUCAGAGUCCCUAAGGUGAUGACUGCAGCUAUGACCCUGCUGAGAGCUUUCUCCUGAUGCCAGGGCACACUUGGCCCACUCACUGGACAAGACAGAAGUACUGGAGAUGUUGUACUCACAGAAAUGUUGUUCAGCCAAUGACAGGGAAUUGAUGAUGAUGUUAGUAUCCUCUCCCCUUGUACUGGAUAAACCUGAGUGUUCUUGUGUCCGGGAGGUCCCCAGUGGGAUUGAGCUCCAGUUGUCCACAGAGGGGAAUUUCUUCAUCACACCUGAUUUCUUGGCAGCCUUUUCCUCCCUGUGUCACUCCCUAAUCUGUUAACGGUGUUCCCUGGGAUCAUCCCCCAAAUAAACUACCUGGCCUUGCAUUCUUGUCCCAAGGUGUGCAACUGAGAGAACCCUAAAACAUCACCCAUUUAACUUUUUUUUUUUUUUUUCUGAGACAGACUCUCACUGUUGCCCAGGCUAGAGUGCAGUGGUGCGAUCUCGGCUCACUGCAGCCUCCGCCUCCUGGGUUCAAGCGAUUCUUGUGCCUCAGCCUCCUGAGUAGCUGGGAUUACAGGUGCCCACCACCACGCCCAGCUAAUUUUUGUAUUUUUAGUAGAGACAGGUUUCCGCCGUGUUGGCCAGGCUGGUCUAGAACUCCUGACCUCAGGUGAUCCACCCGCCUCGGCCUCCCAAAGUGCUGAAAUUACAGGCGUGAGCCACCACACCUGGCUUUUAAUUUUAUAAGCCCCACUUACUGACCCACAGGGACCAAACCCUGCUGUAUGGGAGGAACUUCCAGAUCCCCUUCCUCCCAUUGAUGGGCCUCCUAAGGCACAGAUGAAGAGAGAGGGCUUGCUACCAACUUGAUAGUUCUCAUAAGAAUCUCCAUAGCUCAUACAAAUUAAAGUGGUUUCAUAGUUCCCAAUGAUGUCCCUGGUGGCCAUGUCGGUGCGUCCCACCUUUGUUGUGGAAAUGGAACCAUAGUGAUUGGUCCGUGCCAUGAGCGUGUCAUUCAAGCUAGGCCAAUUAGAGAUAUCUCCUGGAACUUUUUACACCAAAACUAAUGGAGAGAUGUUCUCUGAACUCCAAGAGUUGCUAAAGCUGGAAGGCUGUGAUUCUGGAGUGGCCAGAGUCCAUCUUCCCCUCCCCGUGGAGAAGUCUGCCUGUGACUGGUAAGAAUGGCUCCAACAGGCAAAGAGCAGCAGAGAAAAGAGAGAACAGCCUGGUGGCCUUUGGGUGUCUGAAUCCAGUCAUCUGGGGUAUUGGCUCCACCGGGUGCUGUCCAUGGUUUGUGUAUGUGAAACAAUGAAUUACCCUUUCUUGCUCAAAGUAGUUACAGUUCGGUUUCUGUCACUUCCAACAAAAAAUCUUUGAUGAAUACAGAUAUCCCCAGCAAUGGAAAAGAUGAGGAGAUUUCAGGUGGCCUCCCAGGCAGUGGAUGUUCACAGCUGGGACAAGACUGGGGGGCUACAAAAAUGGCUGCCAAUAGCUGGUCUUUAAGCAUGUAACAAAUACCUUCCAGGGACUCCUAGGGAUACACAUGUCCCCUGAUAUUCUCUCUCUCUUUCUGUCUCUCUCUUACACACACACACACACACACACACAACACCAGGGAUAAAGAAAAAAUACCUUUAAGGAAAAGAUAUUACCAUAACAACAUUCUUAGUCAGGUACUGUAUUGUUUAACCUCUUUGUAAAGCUCAUUCCUUAAGUAUGUUCUUUUCAACUCUACAAGGCAGCAAAGAAAAUAGAUGUUUUAGCUAUUGUUCUCUUAUUCACGCUCUUCUUUCGGAAUCGUUCCUAAAUUAAUUACCUUUUAUAACCUUAUAUAACCAUAAAAACUAUAGUCAUUCUUUAUGAGGAAUUGCACAAUACAUAUCUCUCAAACAGAAGUUCUCGUGCGCAUGUAAAAGCUUGAACAUAAAGUGCUGGGGUCUUUGUCAAGUCCUCCAGGAGCAGAUCCUAGUGUAGCGGGCAGAUGUAGGAGCUAAGAGGCAUAAACUCCGAGUCAAUGUUUUGUUUCUUCUUUAUUAUUUGGGAAGAAAUAUUGCUUAAUUGAAAUAAAAUGAGUGUAAAUUUUUCUAUAGCCCCAUUCUGAGAGGUGAGGGAGGAACUAUCAUGUGAAUAUUCAUUAUUUGAGAAUUAAUUGUACUUUGGUACUUUGGAGUUGAAGGGAGAACACGAAGAAGACUUUGCAAAAAGGGUGUGAGGCCCCAUGCGAGUGAAAAAUAGUAGGAAGAGAAACCAUGGGCUUUUGAUAGAAAGUAGAUUCCAUCGUUGUCAGGAACGUUUCCUCCUUCCCCUCCACCUCCAUGGAUGGAGUAUACUUCCUCACCCCUUGACUUCGGGCUUGGCCCUGAGACUUGCUUUGGCCAAUGGAAUAGCACCAGACAUAAAACAAAUGAGCUUGGAAUAUGCCUGCACAGCUAGGCAAACUCUCCUACAAUUCCAUCAUCUCCAAGAGUUAAAUAUGUUCUGGUUAGCCCACUGGUUCCAGGAAGAGGAUGGGAGUCACGUGCAGCAGAGCCACCCAGCCUACUUAUGGAGUGAAGCAGAGCCACCAGCUGAUCAGGAAACUUGUAAUCCCAGUGCUUACUGUCAUAUGCCACUGAGAGUUUGAGGUUGAUUGUUAUGUGGCAUUGCUAGAGCAGUAACUAAUUGACAGAAGCUGUUAGUGUGAUUUCCCUUG
RNAcentral lists this long non-coding RNA (10597 nucleotides) under Homo sapiens (human). RNAcentral describes it as "non-protein coding RALY-AS1:17". The record is from RNAcentral. Lineage: Eukaryota; Metazoa; Chordata; Mammalia; Primates; Hominidae.